This 504-nucleotide ribosomal RNA is filed under the name uncultured bacterium. Its description in RNAcentral is "partial 16S ribosomal RNA". It matches the Rfam family "Bacterial small subunit ribosomal RNA", at positions 29 to 523 of the family's 1533-position model. The record is from RNAcentral.
AUUGAACGCUGGCGGCAGGCCUAACACAUGCAAGUCGAACGGUAGCACAGAGAGCUUGCUCUCGGGUGACGAGUGGCGGACGGGUGAGUAACGUCUGGGAAACUGCCCGAUGGAGGGGGAUAACUACUGGAAACGGUAGCUAAUACCGCAUAACGUCGCAAGACCAAAGUGGGGGACCUUCGGGCCUCACACCAUCGGAUGUGCCCAGAUGGGAUUAGCUAGUAGGUGGGGUAAUGGCUCACCUAGGCGACGAUCCCUAGCUGGUCUGAGAGGAGGACCAGCCCCACUGGAACUGAGACACGGUCCAGACUCCUACGGGAGGCAGCAGUGGGGAAUAUUGCACAAUGGGCGCAAGCCUGAUGCAGCCAUGCCGCGUGUAUGAAGAAGGCCUUCGGGUUGUAAAGUACUUUCAGCGGGGAGGAAGGCGGUGAAGUUAAUAGCUUAACCGAUUGACGUUACCCGCAGAAGAAGCACCGGCUAACUCCGUGCCAGCAGCCGCCGUAA